UACAGAGGGGGCAAGCGUUGUUCGGAAUUACUGGGCGUAAAGGGCGCGUAGGCGGCCUGCUAAGUCGAACGUGAAAUCCCUGGGCUCAACCCAGGAACUGCGUCCGAUACUGGUUGGCUUGAAUCCGGGAGAGGGACGUGGAAUUCCAGGUGUAGCGGUGAAAUGCGUAGAUAUCUGGAGGAACACCGGUGGCGAAGGCGGCACUCUGGGCCGAUUCUGACACUGAGGAGCGAAAGCGUGGGGAGCGAACAGG
This 253-nucleotide ribosomal RNA is filed under the name uncultured bacterium. RNAcentral's name for it is "partial 16S ribosomal RNA". It matches the Rfam family "Bacterial small subunit ribosomal RNA", at positions 524 to 776 of the family's 1533-position model. The record is from RNAcentral.